Molecule: long non-coding RNA, 548 nt
Organism: Acipenser ruthenus (sterlet)
Lineage: Eukaryota; Metazoa; Chordata; Actinopteri; Acipenseriformes; Acipenseridae
Exons: 6
Source: RefSeq, a predicted model, not a curated record
UACAGAGCCCCUGAGUUCCAGGAACUAGGGGAAUUGUAGUCUUUUAAGCGGCGGCCAUUUUAAAACAAACGAAAAGAAAAUCUUGUGACCAACAGUACAGUUAUAGCUGUUCUUUAAAUAGAAAUCCCUACUAUUUCUAUCGGAACUAACACCCGAUAACCAUCUAUUUAUCACAAAAUCUGAAUUGCAAUAAGUAUGUGGUAACUCCACAGCAUCCAACCUAGAGAUUGUAUACGCAGAAGUGAAGCCAAACCAACAGAACAAAGCUAAACCCCGACCAAAACAUGACUGUGACGUCCUGUACUCUGCUGUCCUUGUCAAGAAACCAGAAAAUAACCCCAGUGCUGCAGACAACAGUGACGUCCUUUAUUCAGAGCUCGACAUGAGGAAUGUGAAUAAGAAGAAGAAGAAGGGUAAAACCCUGGCAGAUAACAAACCUGAGGUGUUGUACUCUGAGAUCAACCAAGCAAAGCCCUCAGGCAAACCCACAGCAGAUAAUGCAGAGUCCAUGUAUGCCACAGUCCUCCCAAAGAAGAAAUGAAGGCAAG